ACGUACGGCCAUAGAUACUGGAAAGCACGGGAUCCCGUCCGCUCUCCCUUAGUUAAACCAGUAAUCGGCGGAUUAGUAGUUGGGUCGGUGACGACCAGCGAAUACCCGCUGCUGUACGUU
This is a ribosomal RNA of Grosmannia clavigera kw1407, 120 nucleotides long. The record is from Rfam. NCBI's taxonomy places the organism in Eukaryota, Fungi, Ascomycota, Sordariomycetes, Ophiostomatales, Ophiostomataceae.